RNA transcript from Tympanuchus pallidicinctus (lesser prairie-chicken), 4381 nucleotides. It is a transcript of the gene named zinc finger protein 703, with no coding region annotated. The record is from RefSeq and is a predicted model, not a curated record. Lineage: Eukaryota; Metazoa; Chordata; Aves; Galliformes; Phasianidae. The transcript has 3 exons.
AUGAGCGGUGCCCCCGGCGGGCCCCGGCCGAGGACCCCGCCGAGCCGCGGAGCCGCGGGCGCCCCGUCGCCCCGGCCGCCCCCCGCCGACCCGCUGCGCCAGGCCAGCCGGCUGCCCAUCCGCGUCCUGAAGAUGCUCAGCGCCCACAGCGGCCACCUCCUGCACCCCGAAUACCUCCAGCCGCUCUCCUCCACGCCCGUCAGCCCCAUCGAGCUGGACGCCAAGAAGAGCCCUCUGGCGCUGCUGGCCCAGACCUGCUCGCAGAUCGGCAAACCCGACCCUCCGCCCUCCUCCAAGCUGAACGCCGUCGCCUCCGCCGGGCUGCCCGCCGCCGACAAGGAGCCCUCCGCCCGCCCCGCCGCGCUCAAACCGCCGGGCGGCAGCGGGGACGCUCCGCCCGAGGACAAGUCCAGCUUCAAGCCCUACUCCAAGGGCGGGGAGCCGCGCAAGGAGGGCCCGGACAAGGCCGGCUUCCGCGUGCCCAGCGCCGCCUGCCCGCCGUUCCCCCCGCACAGCGCCGCAUCCCCGGGCGGCUCCCGCGGCGCGUCCCCGCAGCACGCCGAGCCCAAGGGCGCCGACGACAAGAAGGAGCCCGAGGCGGGCAAGCCCGGCCCCGACGGGGCGAGCGGGGCUUUGGGGCGCGGGGCGGCGGCGGAGUCCGGGGCGCACGGCGAACCCCCCUCAUCGGGCCGCAAAUCGGAGCCCCCAGCGCUGCCGCCCGCCGCCGGCCAUGUGGCCCCCGUGUCUCCUUACAAGCCGGGCCACUCCGUCUUCCCGCUGCCGCCUUCCAGCAUCGGUUACCACGGCUCCAUCGUGGGCGCCUACGCCGGGUACCCCUCGCAGUUCGUGCCCGGGUUGGACCCCAGCAAAGCGGGGCUGGUUGGCAGCCAGCUGCCCGGGGCGCUGGGGCUGCCGGGGAAGCCGCCCAGCUCCAGCCCGCUGACCGGGGCCUCGCCGCCCUCCUUCAUGCAGGGAUUAUGCCGGGACCCGUACUGCCUGAGCUACCACAGCGCCUCGCACCUGGGCUCCGGCAACUGCUCCAGCUGCGUGCACGACGCCGGCAGCCUGAAGAGCGGAUACCCCCUGGUGUACCCCGCGCACCCCCUGCAUUCGGUGCACACCACGCUCUCCUCCGGCGGCACCCCCAGCCUGCCCGGCCACCCCCUCUACACCUACGGCUUCAUGCUGCAGAACGACCCCCUGCCCCACAUAUGCAAUUGGGUGUCUGCCAGCGGACCCUGCGAUAAGAGGUUUGCCACCUCGGAGGAGCUGCUCACCCACCUACGGACCCACACGGCGCUGCCGGGCGCGGAGAAACUCUUGGCCGGUUAUCCCACGUCUGGGUUGGGUUCGGCCGCUUCCUGCCACCUCCACCUCCCGCCCGCCGCCCCCGGCAGCCCCAGCACGUUACCGGCCUCCCUGUCCUUGAGGAGCCCACACACUUUGGGACUCAACAGGUAUCACCCGUACGGCAAGAGCCAUUUGCCCGCAGCCGGAGCUCUCCCCGUGCCGUCGUUGCCGGCUGCCGGACCUUACUACUCCCCCUACGCUCUCUAUGGCCAAAGACUGACUUCAGCUUCUGCACUGGGAUAUCAGUAACCACGGCGGCCACUUCCCCUCGCCGAGCCCCCUCCCCCCUUCCCUCCCGAUCCUCCCCCUCGGCUCCCUCCUUGGAACUGUGUAUUUAUUUACUGUAUGUUAGCUUAAAGCUGGGAAUAUAAGUGCAUUAAUACACCAAUGAAUCGAUGGUAUGCAAAAAAGUCUGUGUCCAAAAAAGAAAAAAAGAAAAAAAAAAAAAAAAAAAGAAAGAAAAGAAAAAAAAAAGAAAAAAUCUUUUCUUUGCAGGUGUGGGGCUUUGGUUUUUUUUUUCGUUGUUGGUUUGUUUUUUUUUCCCCUGUUAUUUCUUUUAAUUGAUUUUUUUUUUUUUUUUCCUUCCCCCCCCUUCUUCGUUUUCCCCCUGAGAAAUUCUUGCAUGACUCCCAACGCAUACAGGAACAAAAAGACAAAAAAAAAAAUUCAACCACGUUUCUUCCUCCUCCUCCUCCUCUUCCUCCCCCCCACCUCAUUUAUCGUUCUGGGAUUCAGUUUCUCUUCCUCUGUGAAGUUAACAGACGUCCAUUUUUUAAUUAUUAUUGUUCUGAUUUUUUUUUUUUUAUUUUUUAUUUUUUUGCCAAUGCGUUUUGGGGCUGCGGAUGGAGCGGCCCCCGCCCCGCGGCUCUCGCCCGGCCCUUCCGCGGGGACGAAUCCCAUUUUCUCCCCCUUAUCCUUUCUCCUCCUCCUCCUCCUCCCCUCGGGGCUGCGGGCUUCCACCCCGACGGCGGCGGCGGCCCCACGGACGGAACGGCGGCGGUGGCGGCGGCGGGCGCGGGGCCGCCCGGCCGGGAGGGCUGCGAGCAUUGCGGGUGACUUAAGAGCUGCGGCUUGCUAAACGCUCGCUGGAGGACGCUGGGGGAGACGCUGGGCUGACAGCUUCGUUUACAGAGUGUAUUCCUUCAGCUCCAUUCGCAAUAACAAACAGAUUUCCACAGACCAUAAUGUUUUCCAAUGCGGUGUUUAUGGAAGCCGUGUGCCAUGACUUCACUCCAUGGUGUUGCGAUGGGGGAAGGCAGCCUCGGUGUGGAUGGACAGAUGUGGCCGUGGGCACCCAGGGAACCCAACCGACUCGAUGCUGUGUGUUUGCAGCCCCAGCACCUCCAUGGAGCCCUCCUGGACCCCCACCCAGCACUGCACUGCAGGGAGGUGCCGGAGCACAGCAAAGAGGAGAGGGGGACGAAGACGUUUUGGGAUGCUUUCUGGAUGAGUUUCAGCCUUCUCUGUUGCUCCUCUCCUUUGGGAAGAGAAGAAAGGAGAUGGGAGUGUGUGAGAUUUGCUGUGCUGUUCCUUCCUGGCGUGUUUGCUCGCUGCGAGCCAGAGCUGCUGUGCUCCUCUCCUGCCUUCCCUGAGCAGAGCAUGGGGACAGGACCCUGUCUGGCACCAACACGUGAGGACACUCAGCCGUCCCAUGUCCUUGUGCUGGGAUGGGGCUGAUGCCUGCAGAGCUGGCUGCGAACCCAGCACCUGGGAGCUCCGCUGGGCAGCUCUCCUGCAGAAGUGACGAAUUGUUUCUGCCGGAGCAAUUGUUACCUCCACGGGGUUUCUGUUCCAGCUCAACACAGCCCCAGUGACGUCCGUGGGUGCGGAGGAACAGCAGCCAGGCCUGACUUCCAAGGUGGAACAAGUCGUUUUGUGUGGAAAAUGUCUCUGACAUGAAGCGCAGCGCUUGCUCCGAGGCGCUGAGACGCAGGCAUGGAGCUGCCUGGUGUUGGUGAGAAAAUGAUCGCUCAGCCCAGCCCGACAACAAAACCUCUCAAUGCACCGGGGUGGGGUGGGAGCAGGAAUGGAGCACCAAGGAAUGGAGCUGAGAAAAGACCUCUGUGCCCACCGGUGUUUGUGCUCAUUUCCCAGACUGUGGCUGAAUUUCAGAUUUGGAAUGACUGCUCGGGCAGCAGCAGCAGCUCCUCCAGCUGCAGGAACGCGUCGGGCCCUCUGUGGCUGUGUUAUGGCUCCCAAACCUGUGCAGCGUGGGCACGGAGCAGCCCUGCUGUAUGCCUGGAGAGCAAGGAGCAAACGUGGGCUGGGUUCAGCAGCACUUUUCCUGGGAAGAGCUACGAGAAGAGCUCAGGGUUCCCAGGAGCCCCAGCAUCACGUUGCUUCACCCUCUGCAGGAGGAAAGCUCGCAGCCCUUCGUGCUAUGGGGGAAGAUCCCGUAGCACUUGGACCCAGUGUGUUAUUUCUGGGCUCUGACUCACGCUGCUGGAACGAUUCGAGGUUUGCAUGCAGCGAGCAUUGCUCUCACAGGGGGUGUGGAGAGAGCUGGGGGGAUGGAGCCCGCGGUUGAUUUACGAGGGGUGCUCAGUUUGUAGGGAUGCUCAGAGCCGCAGUGCAGCAGGAAGGGGUUCAGGAGCCCCCAGGUUUGCAGCUCACAUCUCACUCUGCUGCCCUUCCAUUGCACCCGGUGCAGUGCAGUGAUAUGUCAGAGGGGCAGAGGCGCAGGGAGCUCAGCCCUACGGGUGCCAUCAGCAUCUUGCAUCCCAGCCGGGGGUCCCGUGCUCACCCCUCUCCCCUGCCCGCCGUGCUUUUAUCUCUUCUGUAGGUACCAAUGGAGCCGUCAGCCCGUGGUAUGACAGGUUGCGGGAGCCGGGGCCCCUCGAACAGAGCAGCCUUGUCUGUCAGAGCCGCCUGACACUCCCCAUAAUGGCCAGAUGGAUGAGACUCUGAAAGUAGGACCCGGCGCGUUUUCAACUCUAUUUUGGGUGAAAACACUUCUUGAAAGAUCUUGAAAGGAGCUGGCAGUUGAGGAGUUCCAAUGAUUAAUGAGUGCUGGCUCUGCUGGGCGGGUUGC